Molecule: ribosomal RNA, 253 nt
Filed under: uncultured bacterium
Lineage: Bacteria
Description: partial 16S ribosomal RNA
Rfam family: Bacterial small subunit ribosomal RNA
Source: RNAcentral
GACAGAGGUGCCGAGCGUUAGGCGGAAUCACUGGGCUUAAAGCGUGUGUAGGCGGGUCGGUAAGUGGCUUGUGAAAUCCCACAGCUCACCUGUGGAACUGCUUGGCAUACUGGCGAGCUUGAGCCACUUAGGGGCAACCGGAACAAACGGUGGAGCGGUGAAAUGCGUAGAUAUCGUUUGGAACGCCAAUGGUGAAAACAGGUUGCUGGGAGUGUGCUGACGCUGAGACACGAAAGCCAGGGGAGCAAACGGG